This 252-nucleotide ribosomal RNA is filed under the name uncultured bacterium. RNAcentral's name for it is "partial 16S ribosomal RNA". It matches the Rfam family "Bacterial small subunit ribosomal RNA", at positions 524 to 776 of the family's 1533-position model. The record is from RNAcentral.
UACGGAGGGAGCUAGCGUUGUUCGGAAUUACUGGGCGUAAAGCGCGCGUAGGCGGCUUUGUAAGUUAGAGGUGAAAGCCCGGGGCUCAACCCCGGAAUUGCCUUUAAGACUGCAUCGCUUGAAUCCGGGAGAGGUGAGUGGAAUUCCGAGUGUAGAGGUGAAAUUCGUAGAUAUUCGGAAGAACACCAGUGGCGAAGGCGCUCACUGGACACGUAUUGACGCUGAGGUGCGAAAGCGUGGGGAGCAAACAGG